RNAcentral lists this ribosomal RNA (644 nucleotides) under uncultured bacterium. RNAcentral's name for it is "bacterial SSU rRNA". It matches the Rfam family "Bacterial small subunit ribosomal RNA", at positions 201 to 842 of the family's 1533-position model. The record is from RNAcentral.
UAAAGGGAGCGAUUCCGGCUACGGAUGGUCAUGCGUCGCAUUAGCUAGUUGGCGGGGUAACGGCCCACCAAGGCGACGAUGCGUAGGGGUUCUGAGAGGAAGGUCCCCCACACUGGUACUGAGACACGGACCAGACUCCUACGGGAGGCAGCAGUGAGGAAUAUUGGUCAAUGGCCGCAGGGCUGAACCAGCCAAGUCGCGUGAGGGAUGACGGUCCUAUGGAUUGUAAACCUCUUUUGUCAGGGAGCAAAGGGCGCCACGUGUGGCGCUUUGCGAGUACCUGAAGAAAAAGCAUCGGCUAACUCCGUGCCAGCAGCCGCGGUAAUACGGAGGAUGCGAGCGUUAUCCGGAUUUAUUGGGUUUAAAGGGUGCGCAGGCGGAAUGUCAAGUCAGCGGUAAAAUUUCGGGGCUCAACCCCGUCGUGCCGUUGAAACUGGCGUUCUUGAGUGAGCGAGAAGUAUGCGGAAUGCGUGGUGUAGCGGUGAAAUGCAUAGAUAUCACGCAGAACUCCGAUUGCGAAGGCAGCAUACCGGCGCUCAACUGACGCUCAUGCACGAAAGCGUGGGUAUCGAACAGGAUUAGAUACCCUGGUAGUCCACGCAGUAAACGAUGAAUACUAACUGUCCGGGCAGAAUGAUGCCUGG